RNAcentral lists this long non-coding RNA (1009 nucleotides) under Malus domestica (apple). Its description in RNAcentral is "long non-coding RNA (MDOM_LNC007807)". Lineage: Eukaryota; Viridiplantae; Streptophyta; Magnoliopsida; Rosales; Rosaceae. The record is from RNAcentral.
AAAGGGGCGGUGCUCGCCGGAGGUUCCUUUUCUCUGCUUUCACCAAUCUCGCUACGAUGGAAGAGAGACUAGAGCAAUGCUUGAUGAUGAUGAUGUUCUCGAGUAGAGUAGCUGCAGGUGGUUAUGGUGGUGGGCAGAGGCGAAGCCACAGUGGGGUCAAUGGGGUCGCACGACCCCUUGGAAGCCAUAGAAAUAACCUUAGAAGUCCAUUGGAGCUGCUGGUGCGACCCCUUAAAGCUGCUGGUGCGACCUCUUGGAGCUGCUGCAUUUUUCUGGGUUUCUUCUGGUUUUCGUUCGGUUUGGCGGAAGAGGAAGACGAAGACGAAGACGUUCUCUCUCUUCCUUUCACACCACGUGACCACACACUCUUCUUAUUUAAUUUUUUUUCUUAGUUUCUCUCCAAUCAAAUUUGUAUAGCUAGCAUCAAAUUGCUUGCUUUGUGUAAAAAGCCAUAGGCUGUCAGUUCGGUUCGUGUGUCAAGUUGAAGAUGUCACCAUUAAGUCUUGGUGCAGAUUGCAAAGUUCCCAUGCGUCCACAUCCACAUAUUUGACAUAAAUUAAUGGUAAUGAUGUGUGUGCCCUUUCCACAUCCACAUAUUUAACAACUUUAUUUCUCUUUAUAUUCAACAUAAAUUAAUAUGAUCUCUAAAAAAUAUUAUUAUGAACCACCAUAUUGACAUCAGAAUUUUAUGUUUAUUAUGAACCAUCCAACCCAAUUUUAUGUUUAUUUUUGGUUGUCAGGGAAAGUGAAGGCACCUUUUAGUAUGGUAACUAUCGGCGAGAGGCUGAUCACACUAUCCUACUAAGAUCCGAUGAAAUGACGAUAUGCAUGCCGUUUCUGUUAAAAAAAAAUUUCGCGCUGCGCGCGCUAUCCUUGUUGACCCCCCAAACAUUAUUUCCUGGAUCCGCCACUGGUGGUGAGUGUUCACGGUGAUAGAGAGGGAGAGAGAGAUGAGAGAGGUAUACGGGAAAGGGAAGAAGAAAAGGAAGAAAGAGAACUGAGAGAAGAG